This 566-nucleotide ribosomal RNA is filed under the name uncultured bacterium. Its description in RNAcentral is "partial 16S ribosomal RNA". It matches the Rfam family "Bacterial small subunit ribosomal RNA", at positions 355 to 914 of the family's 1533-position model. The record is from RNAcentral.
UGGGGAAUUUUGGACAAUGGGGGAAACCCUGAUCCAGCCAUCCCGCGUGUGCGAUGAAGGCCUUCGGGUUGUAAAGCACUUUUGGCAGGAAAGAAACGUCGCGGGUUAAUACCCCGCGAAACUGACGGUACCUGCAGAAUAAGCACCGGCUAACUACGUGCCAGCAGCCGCGGUAAUACGUAGGGUGCAAGCGUUAAUCGGAAUUACUGGGCGUAAAGCGUGCGCAGGCGGUUCGGAAAGAAAGAUGUGAAAUCCCAGAGCUUAACUUUGGAGCUGCAUUUUUAACUACCGGGCUAGAGUGUGUCAGAGGGAGGUGGAAUUCCGCGUGUAGCAGUGAAAUGCGUAGAUAUGCGGAGGAACACCGAUGGCGAAGGCAGCCUCCUGGGAUAACACUGACGCUCAUGCACGAAAGCGUGGGGAGCAAACAGGAUUAGAUACCCUGGUAGUCCACGCCCUAAACGAUGUCAACUAGCUGUUGGGGCCUUCGGGCCUUGGUAGCGCAGCUAACGCGUGAAGUUGACCGCCUGGGGAGUACGGUCGCAAGAUUAAAACUUAAAGGAAUUGAC